CUACGCACUCCUACGGGAGGCAGCAGUGGGGAAUAUUGCACAAUGGGGGAAACCCUGAUGCAGCCAUGCCGCGUGUGUGAAGAAGGCCUUCGGGUUGUAAAGCACUUUCAGUCGUGAGGAAGGUAGUGUAGUUAAUAGCUGCAUUAUUUGACGUUAGCGACAGAAGAAGCACCGGCUAACUCCGUGCCAGCAGCCGCGGUAAUACGGAGGGUGCGAGCGUUAACCGGAAUUACUGGGCGUAAAGCGCAUGCAGGCGGCCUGUUAAGUCAGAUGUGAAAGCCCCGGGGCUUAACCUCGGAAUUGCAUUUGAAACUGGCAGGCUAGAGUCUUGUAGAGGGGGUAGAAUUUCAGGUGUAGCGGUGAAAUGCGUAGAGAUCUGAAGGAAUACCAGUGGCGAAGGCGGCCCCCUGGACAAAGACUGACGCUCAGAUGCGAAAGCGUGGGGAGCAAACAGGAUUAGAUACCCUGGUAG
Molecule: ribosomal RNA, 472 nt
Filed under: uncultured bacterium
Lineage: Bacteria
Description: bacterial SSU rRNA
Rfam family: Bacterial small subunit ribosomal RNA
Source: RNAcentral